Molecule: non-coding RNA, 155 nt
Organism: Populus trichocarpa (black cottonwood)
Lineage: Eukaryota; Viridiplantae; Streptophyta; Magnoliopsida; Malpighiales; Salicaceae
Source: Rfam
UAAUUUGUAUAGGACAGAUCCUCAUUUAGUUAUGGUAGACCCAUACUUGAUUGCUCAUAAUCAACUGUUAUCGCAAGCUCGACUAUGUCAAGAUGUCUUGGCCAUUUUCAAGCAAUGAAAGACCAAUUGGCAUCUUCUUCAGCUUCUGACAAUUU